GCCUUUAAGACGAGGAUAACAGUUGGAAACGACUGCUAAGACUGGAUAGGAGAUAGGAAGGCAUCUUCUUAUUUUUAAAAGACCUAGUAAUAGGUAUGCUUAAAGAGGAGCUUGCGUCACAUUAGUUAGUUGGUAGGGUAAAAGCCUACCAAGACUAUGAUGUGUAGCCGGGCUGAGAGGUCAAACGGCCACAUUGGGACUGAGACACGGCCCAAACUCCUACGGGAGGCAGCAGUAAGGAAUUUUCGGCAAUGGAGGAAACUCUGACCGAGCAACGCCGCGUGAACGAUGAAGUAUUUCGGUAUGUAAAGUUCUUUUAUUAGGGAAGAAAAGAUGGUGGAAAAACCAUUAUGACGGUACCUAAUGAAUAAGCCCCGGCUAACUAUGUGCCAGCAGCCGCGGUAAUACAUAGGGGGCAAGCGUUAUCCGGAAUUAUUGGGCGUAAAGGGUGCGUAGGCGGUUAAAUAAGUUUAUGGUCUAAGUGCAAUGCUCAACGUUGUGAUGCUAUAAAAACUGUUUAGCUAGAGUUGGAUAGAGGCAAGUGGAAUUCCAUGUGUAGUGGUAAAAUGCGUAAAUAUAUGGAGGAACACCAGGAGCGAAGGCGGCUUGCUGGGUCUUAACUGACGCUGAGGCACGAAAGCGUGGGGAGCAAACAGGAUUAGAUACCCUGGUAGUCCACGCCCUAAACGAUGAGUACUAAACGUUGGGUAAAACCAGUGUUGAAGUUAACACAUUAAGUACUCCGCCUGAGUAGUACGUACGCAAGUAUGAAACUUAAAGGAAUUGACGGGACUCCGCACAAGCGGUGGAUCAUGUUGUUUAAUUCGAAGGUACCCGAAAAACCUCACCAGGUCUUGACAUGCUUUUGCAAAGCUGUAGAAAUACAGUGGAGGUUAUCAAUUGCACAGGUGGUGCAUGGUUGUCGUCAGCUCGUGUCGUGAGAUGUUGGGUUAAGUCCCGCAACGAGCGCAACCCUUGUUGUUAAUUGCCAGCAUGUAAUGAUGGGGACUUUAGCAAGACUGCCAGUGAUAAAUUGGAGGAAGGUGGGGACGACGUCAAAUCAUCAUGCCCCUUAUGACCUGGGCUACAAACGUGAUACAAUGGCUGUUACAAAGGGUAGCUAAAGCGCAAGCUUCUGGCGAAUCUCAAAAAAGCAGUCUCAGUUCGGAUUGAAGUCUGCAACUCGACUUCAUGAAGUUGGAAUCGCUAGUAAUCGCGAAUCAGCAUGUCGCGGUGAAUACGUUCUCGGGGUUUGUACACACCGCCCGUCAAACCACGAAAGUUGGCAAUACCCAAAACCGGUGGCCUAACUUGAGUAAUCAAGAGGGAGCCG
Molecule: ribosomal RNA, 1333 nt
Filed under: Candidatus Phytoplasma fragariae
Lineage: Bacteria; Bacillati; Mycoplasmatota; Mollicutes; Acholeplasmatales; Acholeplasmataceae
Description: bacterial SSU rRNA
Rfam family: Bacterial small subunit ribosomal RNA
Source: RNAcentral